AGUGAACGCUGGCGGUAGGCCUAACACAUGCAAGUCGAACGGCAGCACAGUAAGAGCUUGCUCUUACGGGUGGCGAGUGGCGGACGGGUGAGGAAUACAUCGGAAUCUACUUUUUCGUGGGGGAUAACGUAGGGAAACUUACGCUAAUACCGCAUACGACCUACGGGUGAAAGCAGGGGAUCUUCGGACCUUGCGCGAUUGAAUGAGCCGAUGUCGGAUUAGCUAGUUGGCGGGGUAAAGGCCCACCAAGGCGACGAUCCGUAGCUGGUCUGAGAGGAUGACCAGCCACACUGGAACUGAGACACGGCCCAGACUCCUACGGGAGGCAGCAGUGGGGAAUUUUGGACAAUGGGCGCAAGCCUGAUCCAGCCAUACCGCGUGGGUGAAGAAGGCCUUCGGGUUGUAAAGCCCUUUUGUUGGGAAAGAAAAGCAGCAGGUUAAUACCCCGCUGUUAUGACGGUACCCAAAGAAUAAGCACCGGCUAACUUCGUG
Molecule: ribosomal RNA, 492 nt
Filed under: uncultured bacterium
Lineage: Bacteria
Description: partial 16S ribosomal RNA
Rfam family: Bacterial small subunit ribosomal RNA
Source: RNAcentral